Long non-coding RNA from Alligator mississippiensis (American alligator), 644 nucleotides. RefSeq lists it as uncharacterized. The record is from RefSeq and is a predicted model, not a curated record. Lineage: Eukaryota; Metazoa; Chordata; Crocodylia; Alligatoridae. The transcript is spliced from 3 exons.
AGAUAAGUUGCUGUUCAGCUGGACAGAAGCCCUCAUCAAUUGUCACCAGCAGAAGGGAAAGAUGGGUGAAGCUUUUUUGAGAAAUUAUUGGAAGACUCCAAACACAGGAACUAAUGAUAACAAGAGACAUUCUGUAUCCAGGAGAGGAAAAAUUGGGUAAAUGAGAAGACAUCAAUAAAUAAAGCAAUAUCAGAACAACAGGAAGGACAGAACACUAAUAUUAUCAAGAGCAAUUAUCAGUACAGGUAAUAACUGAAGUAAUUCAAAUGCACAGAAGAAACCACAAGGCAUGGAUAUAACCAAAAUAAUUCUGCAAAAAUGUUUUAAGCCUGAUAUCCAGCUCUUGCAAAUGAUUGUUCUUUUAAAAUCAAUGGAGCUAUGUUCAUUAUACCAGGUGAGAAUGUGGCCCUUUCUUCAUGUGGGUGCCUGGCAUGCAGGGGGAAUACGCAAAUGGAUUAUGUGGGGUAUACACAAAUGCAGGGGAAUACGCAAAAGGAAAAUCAAAGUUGUGCUACUCUCUCUUUUCUACUUUACAGAGAAGAUUUAAGAUGUGCACUGACCUAUUUCAGUUCUUACACAUGGCAUAGGUGAACAAAGUGGUGAAUUCUCACUGAUCCUUCCUAAAUAUAUUCAGAACAACUGCA